This 463-nucleotide ribosomal RNA is filed under the name uncultured bacterium. RNAcentral's name for it is "bacterial SSU rRNA". It matches the Rfam family "Bacterial small subunit ribosomal RNA", at positions 917 to 1382 of the family's 1533-position model. The record is from RNAcentral.
GGGCCCGCACAAGCAGUGGAGUAUGUGGUUUAAUUCGAAGCAACGCGAAGAACCUUACCAGGACUUGACAUCCCUCGCAAUCCAAGGAAACUUGGAGUUCCUACGGGACGGGGAGACAGGUGGUGCAUGGUUGUCGUCAGCUCGUGUCGUGAGAUGUUGGGUUAAGUCCCGCAACGAGCGCAACCCCUGUUGUUAGUUGCCAUCAGGUAAAGCUGGGCACUCUAACGAGACUGCCGGUGAUAAAUCGGAGGAAGGUGGGGAUGACGUCAAAUCAUCAUGCCCCUUAUGUUCUGGGCUACACACGUACUACAAUGGCUGUUACAGAGGGGAGCGAAGCCGCAAGGCAGAGCAAAUCCCAAAAAACAGUCUCAGUUCGGAUUGUGGGCUGAAACCCGCCCACAUGAAGUCGGAAUUGCUAGUAAUGGCAGGUCAGCAUACUGCCGUGAAUACGUUCCCGGGCCUU